RNAcentral lists this long non-coding RNA (1360 nucleotides) under Homo sapiens (human). Its description in RNAcentral is "non-protein coding lnc-VSTM2B-9:24". The record is from RNAcentral. Lineage: Eukaryota; Metazoa; Chordata; Mammalia; Primates; Hominidae.
ACUAGAGGACGCCCGUUCCAAUGGCAACUCUGCCAAGGCGCCUAUGAGAGCCUCUUGGCUUUUACCUGGUCUGCGAGAAAUCAAACUUUGGGCACAAGUCAUGAAGCCGACAAGCCCGGGAGACACAGUGUCAGAAUUACAAGGUGAGAUCAGCCGCCCGGCCAAGCUAUCUUCUCGCUAGCAGGUCUCGCAUCUGGGGCUCGAUCUCGUGCAGAGGAGCAUUUCCGAAGACACUGGCCGCUCCCACAAUGGCUCCGAAGAACCCAGCGACCAGCGGGUUCAUGAGUUUGUUGGGGCUGUCCACUCGGUACCAGCUGCGCAGGGAUGUCAGGACAAAGAAACAAGUUGCCUGGUUCCAGCCCUGCUUCAGCACGGGGCCUGUGGGGCCCCGGUAAGUCCCGGUGUUCCCGCACAAUCUCCUAACCCUGUGGAAGAAUCCCCUGUACUUGGAUUUGGAGAGGUCUGGCCAUGGAUUAACUUCACCUUGAUGGUCUCCAUGGGACAUAGGACCACCACGGCCUCGGCCACGCUAGCUCACUGGCCGCACCGCUGCCCGCCUUGCUGUUCACCAGUCCCUGGGCAUCCCGCAUCUGGUUGCUGAGGAACGCCUGACGCCGCCUUGUGGAUGAAGCCGCAGAGCAGGGAGCUGAGGCUGCGGCCCAGGCCCAGGCUGCCUUGGCUGCGACUGUGUGCCUGCAGGCCCCAUGCCCGGUAUCCGGUGGAUGCGAGUGCUAGUCCAGCUGCAGCUGCAUCUUCACGAACUCGGUGGGGAACGGGAUGCAGAUUUUUUUUUUCUUUUCCUUCCUUCCUUCCUUCCUUCCAACUUCCUUCCUUCCUUCCCCUUUCUUUCUUUCUUUUUUUUUUUUUUUUUUUUUUGACAGAAUUUUGCUCUUGUCCCCCAGGCUGGAGUGCAGUGGCGCGAUCUUGGCUCACUACAACCUGGAUUCAAGCGAUUCUCCUGCCUCAGCCUCCCGAGUAGCUGGGAUUACAGGCAUGUGCCACCAUUCCCGGCUAAUUUUUUUGUCUUUUUAGUAGAGACGGUGUUUCCCCAUGUUGGUCAGGCUGGUCUCAAACGCCUGACUCAGAUGAUCCGCCCGCCUCGGCCACCCAAAGUGCUGAGAUUACAGGCUUGAACCACCGCGCCUGGCCCUGUGAUGUAGAUUUUGAUGCUGCCAGCCAGGCUGCCUGCCGGGAUCGCCUGCCCUGGAGCAGGAGCAUCAGCCGUGCGUUCCAGGACGCAGGCAUGGCAUGACCGGCAGGAGGCGGAGUGCCCGGCGUCUCUUGGGAUCGGAGCCUCCUGAAUUCCACGCUGGGACCUUAAUUUGGUUUUAACACAAAUAAAGAUCUCACAUAAAGAUAA